AUUGAACGCUGGCGGCAGGCCUAACACAUGCAAGUCGAGCGGAUGAAGGGAGCUUGCUCCUGGAUUCCGCGGCGGACGGGUGUGUAAUGCCUAGGAAUCUGCCUGGUAGUGGGGGAUAACGUCCGGAAACGGGCGCUAAUACCGCAUACGUCCUGAUGGUGAAAGUGUGGGAUCUUCGGCCCUCACGCUAUCAGAUGAGCCUAGGUCGGAUUAGCUAGUUGGUGGGGUAAAGGCCUACCAAGGCGACGAUCCGUAACUGGUCUGAGAGGAUGAUCAGUCACACUGGAACGGAGACACGGACCAGACUCCUACGGGAGGCAGCAGAGGGGAAUAGUGGACAAGGGGCGAAAGCAUGAUCCAGCCAAGCCGCGUGUGGGAAGAAGGGCUUCGGAUUGUAAAGCACUUUAAGUUGGGAGGAAGGGCAGUAAGUUAAUACCUUGCUGUUUUGACGUUACCAAAAGAAUAAGCACCGGCUAACUUCGUG
This 484-nucleotide ribosomal RNA is filed under the name uncultured bacterium. RNAcentral describes it as "partial 16S ribosomal RNA". It matches the Rfam family "Bacterial small subunit ribosomal RNA", at positions 30 to 507 of the family's 1533-position model. The record is from RNAcentral.